Long non-coding RNA from Myotis brandtii (Brandt's bat), 243 nucleotides. RefSeq lists it as uncharacterized. Lineage: Eukaryota; Metazoa; Chordata; Mammalia; Chiroptera; Vespertilionidae. The transcript has 3 exons. The record is from RefSeq and is a predicted model, not a curated record.
UUUUUAAUCUAAGGGUAGGAGAGAAGAAUCCAAAAAGCAAUAUUUUUCAUCACAUGCCAAAAAUGGGAUAGAGAGGAGGAGUGGCAGGCCUAAGCCCCUCCAAUUGUCCCUUGAGAGGUACCCCUCAGCCCACCUCAGUAUGGUGCUGGGUAGAGGAGAUACCUGGGUUCUAACCUCUAAACAGGGGAGACCCCAGCCUCUAGAUAGAGGCCAUUUUAUUUUUUAUUCUGAUUAGCCAUUUUA